This 253-nucleotide ribosomal RNA is filed under the name uncultured bacterium. RNAcentral describes it as "partial 16S ribosomal RNA". It matches the Rfam family "Bacterial small subunit ribosomal RNA", at positions 524 to 776 of the family's 1533-position model. The record is from RNAcentral.
UACGGAGGAGGCAAGCGUUAUCCGGAAUUAUUGGGCGUAAAGAGUCCGUAGGUGGGUAACCAAGUCAGUUGUUAAAUAGUGAAGCUUAACUUCAUAGAGGCGACUGAAACUGGUUGUCUAGAGCGUGGUAGGGGUAGAGGGAAUUUCCAGUGUAGCGGUGAAAUGCGUAGAUAUUGGAAAGAACACCGGUGGCGAAAGCGCUCUACUGGGCCUGCACUGACACUGAGGGACGAAAGCUAGGGGAGCGAAAGGG